RNAcentral lists this ribosomal RNA (58 nucleotides) under Tessaracoccus oleiagri. The record is from RNAcentral. Lineage: Bacteria; Bacillati; Actinomycetota; Actinomycetes; Propionibacteriales; Propionibacteriaceae.
UUCGGUGGUCAUAGCGAAGGGGAAAUACCCGGCAACAUUCCGAACCCGGAAGUCAAGC